Cordylochernes scorpioides is the source of this 87-nucleotide non-coding RNA. The record is from the annotation of a GenBank genome assembly. Lineage: Eukaryota; Metazoa; Arthropoda; Arachnida; Pseudoscorpiones; Chernetidae.
GCUCAGAUGAACUUUGGUGGUCCGAGGUGAAGGCUUCAAACCUGUAGCUGCUUAGAAGCGGACUGGUUCAAUUCUACCUUCUGGGCG